This 403-nucleotide ribosomal RNA is filed under the name uncultured bacterium. RNAcentral describes it as "partial 16S ribosomal RNA". It matches the Rfam family "Bacterial small subunit ribosomal RNA", at positions 30 to 526 of the family's 1533-position model. The record is from RNAcentral.
AUUGAACGCUGGCGGCAGGCCUAACACAUGCAAGUCGAGCGAGCGGCGGGCGGGUGAGUAAUGUAUGGGGACUUCCCGAUAGAGGGGGAUAACUACAGGAAACGUUAUCUAAUCCCGCAUACUAUCGGGUACCCCAUAUGGGAUUGGCUAGUAGGUGAGGUAAUGGCUCACCUGGGCGACGAUCCCUAGCUGGUCUGAGAGGAUGAUCAGCCACACUGGGACUGAGACACGGCCCAGACUCCUACGGAGGCAGCAGUGGGGAAUAUUGCACAAUGGGCGCAAGCCUGAUGCAGCCAUGCCGCGUGUAUGAAGAAGGCCCUAGGGUUGUAAAGUACUUUCAGUCGGGAGGCGUUACCGACAGAAGAAGCACCGGCUAACUCCGUGCCAGCAGCCGCGGUAAUUC